AUUGAACGCUGGCGGCAUGCUUUACACAUGCAAGUCGAACGGCAGCACGGGCUUCGGCCUGGUGGCGAGUGGCGAACGGGUGAGUAAUGCGUCGGAACGCGCCGAGUAAUGGGGGAUAACGCAUCGAAAAGGUGUGCUAAUACCGCAUACGCUCUGAGGAGGAAAGCGGGGGACCUUCGGGCCUCGCGUUAUUCGAGCGGCCGACGUCUGAUUAGCUAGUUGGUGGGGUAAAGGCUCACCAAGGCGACGAUCAGUAGCGGGUCUGAGAGGAUGAUCCGCCACACUGGGACUGAGACACGGCCCAGACUCCUACGGGAGGCAGCAGUGGGGAAUUUUGGACAAUGGGCGAAAGCCUGAUCCAGCCAUG
RNAcentral lists this ribosomal RNA (367 nucleotides) under uncultured bacterium. Its description in RNAcentral is "bacterial SSU rRNA". It matches the Rfam family "Bacterial small subunit ribosomal RNA", at positions 30 to 396 of the family's 1533-position model. The record is from RNAcentral.